GACUCGCAGCCAUCACUCCCACGACCCUGAUGCCACAUGCGGAUCCAUACAGCAAUCCCUGGGGCUUACUCCUGGGGAUAAAAAGCCCUGUUCGGCAGGUUCCCCGUACUGCAUCUCCUCCAUAGUGUCCUGUGCCCUGCUACUCAAUUUUUGGUGGCCUCCGCCUCUGCCCAGCGUUCAUCGCUCCAGGAGCUGACCGACCGACUGUCCGUUCCCCGCCGGACUGACGAGCGCGGCUCCAGGAAUGACUGCUGAGGUGUCCCAGGGGCAGGGGGAGCAUUGGAGGCUCCAAGCCCCGGAGCAGACUUGCUCCCGGGACUUGUUACGUGCGUGACUGAAUAAACACUCGCCGCCUCCUUUGCCCUCA
Long non-coding RNA from Aptenodytes forsteri (emperor penguin), 367 nucleotides. RefSeq lists it as uncharacterized. The record is from RefSeq and is a predicted model, not a curated record. The transcript is spliced from 2 exons. Lineage: Eukaryota; Metazoa; Chordata; Aves; Sphenisciformes; Spheniscidae.